CCAGACUCCUACGGGAGGCAGCAGUGGGGAAUAUUGCACAAUGGGGGAAACCCUGAUGCAGCGACGCCGCGUGAGCGAAGAAGUAUUUCGGUAUGUAAAGCUCUAUCAGCAGGAAAGAAAAUGACGGUACCUGACUAAGAAGCUCCGGCUAAAUACGUGCCAGCAGCCGCGGUAAUACGUAUGGAGCAAGCGUUAUCCGGAUUUACUGGGUGUAAAGGGAGCGCAGGCGGUCUGGCAAGUCUGAUGUGAAAGGCCGGGGCUCAACCCCGGGACUGCAUUGGAAACUGUCAGACUGGAGCGUCGGAGAGGUAAGCGGAAUUCCUAGUGUAGCGGUGAAAUGCGUAGAUAUUAGGAGGAACACCAGUGGCGAAGGCGGCUUACUGGACGAUGACUGACGCUGAGGCUCGAAAGCGUGGGGAGCAAACAGGAUUAGAUACCCCUGUAA
This 445-nucleotide ribosomal RNA is filed under the name uncultured bacterium. RNAcentral describes it as "bacterial SSU rRNA". It matches the Rfam family "Bacterial small subunit ribosomal RNA", at positions 331 to 793 of the family's 1533-position model. The record is from RNAcentral.